RNAcentral lists this ribosomal RNA (444 nucleotides) under Cryptosporidium parvum. RNAcentral's name for it is "SSU rRNA". It matches the Rfam family "Eukaryotic small subunit ribosomal RNA", at positions 562 to 1037 of the family's 1831-position model. The record is from RNAcentral. Lineage: Eukaryota; Apicomplexa; Conoidasida; Eucoccidiorida; Cryptosporidiidae.
GGGUGCCAGCAGCGCGGUAAUACAGCUGCAAUAGCGUAUAUUAAAGUUGUUGCAGUAAAAAAGCUGGUAGUAGGAUUCUGUUAAUAAUUUAUAUAAAAUAUUAUGAUGAAUAUUUAUAUAAUAUUAACAUAAUUCAUAUUACUAUAUUUUUUAGUAUAUGAAAUUUUACUUUGAGAAAAUUAGAGUGCUUAAAGCAGGCAUAUGCCUUGAAUACUCCAGCAUGGAAUAAUAUUAAAGAUUUUUAUCUUUCUUAUUGGUUCUAAGAUAAGAAUAAUGAUUAAUAGGGACAGUUGGGGGCAUUUGUAUUUAACAGUCAGAGGUGAAAUUCUUAGAUUUGUUAAAGACAAACUAAUGCGAAAGCAUUUGCCAAGGAUGUUUUCAUUAAUCAAGAACGAAAGUUAGGGGAUCGAAGACGAUCAGAUACCGUCGUGUCUAACCAUAAAC